GACGAACGCUGGCGGCGUGCCUAAUACAUGCAAGUUGAGCGCUGAAGGUUGGUACUUGUACCGACUGGUUGAGCAGCGAACGGGUGAGUAACGCGUGGGGAAUCUGCCUUUGAGCGGGGGACAACAUUUGGAAACGAAUGCUAAUACCGCAUAAAAACUUUAAACACAAGUUUUAAGUUUGAAAGAUGCAAUUGCAUCACUCAAAGAUGACCCCGCGUUGUAUUAGCUAGUUGGUGAGGUAAAGGCUCACCAAGGCGAUGAUACAUAGCCGACCUGGGAGGGGGAUCGGCCACAUUGGGACUGAGACACGGCCCAAACUCCUACGGGAGGCAGCAGUAGGGAAUCUUCGGCAAUGGACGAAAGUCUGACCGAGCAACGCCGCGUGAGUGAAGAAGGUUUUCGGAUCGUAAAACUCUGUUGGUAGAGAAGAACGUUGGUGAGAGUGGAAAGCUCAUCAAGUGACGGUAACUACCCAGAGAGGGACGGCUAACUACGUGCCAGCAGCCGCAGUAA
Molecule: ribosomal RNA, 513 nt
Filed under: uncultured bacterium
Lineage: Bacteria
Description: partial 16S ribosomal RNA
Rfam family: Bacterial small subunit ribosomal RNA
Source: RNAcentral